GACGAACGCUGGCGGCGUGCUUAACACAUGCAAGUCGAACGGUGAACUCCGCUUGCGGGGGGAUCAGUGGCGAACGGGUGAGUAACACGUGGGCAACCUGCCCUCAGCUCUGGGAUAACUCCAAGAAAUUGGGGCUAAUACCGGAUAUGACCGCUGACCGCAUGGUCUGGUGGUGGAAAGAUUUAUCGGCUGGGGAUGGGCCCGCGGCCUAUCAGCUUGUUGGUGGGGUAGUGGCCUACCAAGGCGACGACGGGUAGCCGGCCUGAGGGGGUGACCGGCCACACUGGGACUGAGACACGGCCCAGACUCCUACGGGAGGCAGCAGUGGGGAAUAUUGCGCAAUGGGCGAAAGCCUGACGCAGCGACGCCGCGUGGGGGAUGACGGCCUUCGGGUUGUAAACCUCUUUCAGCAGGGACGAAGCGAAAGUGACGGUACCUGCAGAAGAAGCACCGGCCAACUACGUG
This 465-nucleotide ribosomal RNA is filed under the name uncultured bacterium. RNAcentral's name for it is "partial 16S ribosomal RNA". It matches the Rfam family "Bacterial small subunit ribosomal RNA", at positions 28 to 507 of the family's 1533-position model. The record is from RNAcentral.